GGCCAGUUAGCUCAGUUGGUUGAGCAUGGUGCUGAUAACACCGAGGUCGUGGGUUCGAUUCCCGCUCAGUCCC
RNAcentral lists this transfer RNA (73 nucleotides) under Apaloderma vittatum (bar-tailed trogon). It matches the Rfam family "tRNA". From Rfam's summary of the family: Transfer RNA (tRNA) molecules are approximately 80 nucleotides in length. The record is from Rfam by way of RNAcentral. Lineage: Eukaryota; Metazoa; Chordata; Aves; Trogoniformes; Trogonidae.